RNAcentral lists this ribosomal RNA (1647 nucleotides) under Triticum aestivum (bread wheat). Its description in RNAcentral is "partial small subunit ribosomal RNA". Lineage: Eukaryota; Viridiplantae; Streptophyta; Magnoliopsida; Poales; Poaceae. The record is from RNAcentral.
AUGGACAAGCUUCCCAAGCGCCCGGCUAACUACGUGCCACUUAGCCCGGUUGGCUUCCUUCCGCGCGCCAGUGCAGUAUACGGCGACCGCACGUCGGUCGUCUACGGGCGUCUCAAGUUCACGUGGAGGCAAACGCACGAGCGCUGCCGCCGCCUCGCCGCCGCCCUCGUCUCCCUCGGCGUCCGCAAGAACGACGUCGUCUCCGUCCUCGCGCCCAACGUGCCGGCAAUGUACGAGAUGCACUUCGCCGUGCCCAUGGCUGCUGCCGUGCUCAACACCAUCAACACGCGCCUGGACGCCAAGGCGGUGGCGGUCAUCCUCAGGCACGCCCAGACCAAGGUCCUCUUCGUCGACUAUGAGUACGUGCGCCUCGCUCACGACGCGCUCCAGAUCGUUGCCGAUGCCGGCGCGCCCGUGCCGCUUGUCGCCGUCAUCGAUGAUAUCGACAGACCCACCGGCGUCCGGCUCGGCCUCUUCAAGCUCGAGUAUGAGGCGCUGGUCAGCAAAGGAGACCCGGCGGCGGAGCUGCCCUCGCUCGAAGACGAGUGGGAUGCGGUCGCGCUCAACUACACCUCGGGUACCACGUCGGCGCCCAAAGGCGUGGUGUACAGCCACCGUGGUGCGUACCUCAACACCAUGGCCCAGCUGCUGUCGUGGGGGGUGGGCACCGAGCCGGUGUACCUCUGGACGCUCCCCAUGUUCCACUGCAACGGGUGGACCCUCACGUGGGGAGUGGCGACGCGCGGCGGCGUCAACGUCUGCAUCCGCGAGAACCGCGCCGCCGACCUCUACCGUGCCAUCUCCGACUAUGGCGUCACCCACAUGUGUUGCGCGCCCGUGGUAUUCAAUAUCCUCCUUUCCGGCGAGGCACCGCGGCUCGCGGCUCCCGUCCACGUCCUCACUGGCGGCGCCCCGCCGACGGCCGCCCUGCUGGACCGUGUCGAGCGGAUCGGUUUCAAGGUGACGCACUCCUACGGACUCACUGAGGCAGGCCCCGCUCUGGCCUGCGAGUGGCGUCACCGGUGGGACCUCCUGCCGCUCGCGGAGCGCUCACACCUCAAGGCCAGGCAGGGGGUCAGCAUCCUGUCUCUCGCCGAUGCCAAUGUCGUGGUCGACGAUGACACCUUGUCUAGCGUGCCGCGCGACGGCAAGUCCUUGGGUGAGAUCGUGCUCCGCGGCAGCAGCCUCAUGAAGGGGUACCUCAACAACUCGGAGGCUAAUGAGAAGGCCUUCAAGGGCGGGUGGUUCAUGACGGGCGACGUCGGCGUCGUGCACCCGGAUGGGUACAUAGAGAUAAAGGACAGGUCAAAGGACGUGAUCAUCAGCGGCGGUGAGAACAUUUGUAGCACGGAGCUGGAGCUCGUGCUGCUCCAACACCCGGCUGUGGCCGACGCGGCGGUGGUUGCCAUGCCUCACCCGCACUGGGGCGAGACGCCGUGCGCGUUCCUCGUGGCGAAAGACAAGGCCGCCGAGGUAUGCAAGGAUGAAGUGAUCGCCUUCUGCCGCGAGCGCAUUUCGCGUUUCAUGGUUCCUAGGAAGGUGGUCGUCAUCUACGCCCUCCCCAGGAACGCGCUGGGAAAGGUGGAGAAGGUGAAGCUACGGGAUACGGCCCGGAAUCUUGUCCUCUCGGCCAUGUCAAGGAUAUAG